UAUUUUAAAAAGAUGUUGAUUUGAAUUAUUUCGAAAAGUUUAGGUGUCAGGUGGACUUCGCGACAAUGUCGCGCGAUACUGCCUUAUUCUAUCCAAUAUGGACGACCUGCGCUGGAUAUUGACAGAUUUCAGAUCCCGAUCGAAACGUACAGCAAGAGAGGCGUGUUUUUGAAAGUUGAAAAUGGAAGUUACCAACUUCGAUGAUGAUGACAACCCCACCUACAAUCAUAGUUACUCUUUACUGGGCUCAGUCUACGAACCUGCCAAAACUACAUCACUAGUUUUUUCAGAUGAUAAUCGAUUGGACAAACUUGACAAAUAUUACAGAAAUGGUAA
Long non-coding RNA from Rhincodon typus (whale shark), 336 nucleotides. RefSeq lists it as uncharacterized. Lineage: Eukaryota; Metazoa; Chordata; Chondrichthyes; Orectolobiformes; Rhincodontidae. The transcript has 3 exons. The record is from RefSeq and is a predicted model, not a curated record.